This 490-nucleotide ribosomal RNA is filed under the name uncultured bacterium. RNAcentral describes it as "partial 16S ribosomal RNA". It matches the Rfam family "Bacterial small subunit ribosomal RNA", at positions 30 to 507 of the family's 1533-position model. The record is from RNAcentral.
AUUGAACGCUGGCGGCAGGCCUAACACGUGCAAGUCGAACGGUAACAGGAAGCAGCUUGCUGCUUCGCUGACGAGUGGCGGACGGGAGAGAAAUGUGUGGGAAGCUGCCUGAUGGAGGGGGAUAACUACUGGAAACGGUAGCUAAUACCGCAUAAUGUCUCAAGACCAAAGAGGGGGACUUUCGGGCCUCUUUCCAUCGGAUGAGCCCAGAUGGGAUUAGCUUGUUGGUGGGGUAACGGCUAACCAAGGCCACGAUCCCUAGCUGGUCUGAGAGGAUGACCAGCCACACUGGGACUGAGACACGGUCCAGACUCCUACGGGAGGCAGCAGUGGGGAAUAUUGCACAAUGGGCGCAAGCCUGAUGCAGCCAUGCCGCGUGUAUGAAGAAGGCCUUCGGGUUGUAAAGUACUUUCAGCGGGGAGGAAGGGAGUAAAGUUAAUACCUUUGCUCAUUGACGUUACCCGCAGAAGAAGCACCGGCUAACUCCGUG